UACGGGGGGAGCAAGCGUUGUUCGGAUUUACUGGGCGUAAAGGGCGCGUAGGCGGCGCAACAAGUCACUUGUGAAAUCUCCGGGCUUAACUCGGAGCGGCCAAGUGAUACUGUCGGACUAGAGUACAGAAGGGGCAACUGGAAUUCUCGGUGUAGCGGUGAAAUGCGUAGAUAUCGAGAGGAACACCUGCGGCGAAGGCGGGUUGCUGGGCUGAUACUGACGCUGAGGCGCGAAAGCCAGGGGAGCGAACGGG
Molecule: ribosomal RNA, 253 nt
Filed under: uncultured bacterium
Lineage: Bacteria
Description: partial 16S ribosomal RNA
Rfam family: Bacterial small subunit ribosomal RNA
Source: RNAcentral